This 504-nucleotide ribosomal RNA is filed under the name uncultured Geobacter sp. Its description in RNAcentral is "bacterial SSU rRNA". It matches the Rfam family "Bacterial small subunit ribosomal RNA", at positions 335 to 831 of the family's 1533-position model. The record is from RNAcentral. Lineage: Bacteria; Pseudomonadati; Thermodesulfobacteriota; Desulfuromonadia; Geobacterales; Geobacteraceae.
ACUCCUACGGGAGGCAGCAGUGGGGAAUUUUGCGCAAUGGGGGAAACCCUGACGCAGCAACGCCGCGUGAGUGAUGAAGGCCUUCGGGUCGUAAAGCUCUGUCAGAGGGGAAGAAAUGCAGGGUGCUAAUAUCGCUUCUGCUUGACGGUACCCUCAAAGGAAGCACCGGCUAACUCCGUGCCAGCAGCCGCGGUAAUACGGAGGGUGCGAGCGUUGUUCGGAAUUAUUGGGCGUAAAGCGCGUGUAGGCGGUUUGUUAAGUCUGAUGUGAAAGCCCCGGGCUCAACCUGGGAAGUGCGUUGGAAACUGGCAGACUUGAAUACGGGAGAGGGCAGUGGAAUUCCUAGUGUAGGAGUGAAAUCCGUAGAUAUUAGGAGGAACACCGGUGGCGAAGGCGGCUGCCUGGACCGAUAUUGACGCUGAGACGCGAAAGCGUGGGGAGCAAACAGGAUUAGAUACCCUGGUAGUCCACGCCGUAAACGAUGAGAACUAGGUGUUGCGGGUA